Molecule: transfer RNA, 64 nt
Filed under: Aphis gossypii (cotton aphid)
Lineage: Eukaryota; Metazoa; Arthropoda; Insecta; Hemiptera; Aphididae
Description: tRNA-Asn
Source: RNAcentral
UUAAAUGAAACCAAAAAGAGGUUUAUUACUGUUAAUAAUAAUAAGAAAAAAAAAUCCAAUAAAA